Molecule: ribosomal RNA, 330 nt
Filed under: uncultured bacterium
Lineage: Bacteria
Description: bacterial SSU rRNA
Rfam family: Bacterial small subunit ribosomal RNA
Source: RNAcentral
UGCGUAGGCGGUUAUGAAAGUUAGGAGUGAAAGCCCAGGGCUCAACCUUGGAAUUGCUUUUAAAACUACAUGACUCGAAUUCGAUAGAGGAUGGCGGAAUUAUCAGUGUAGCAGUGAAAUGCGUAGAUAUUGAUAGGAACACCGGUGGCGUAGGCGGCCAUCUAGAUCGACAUUGACGCUGAGGUACGAAAGCGUGGGGAGCAAACAGGAUUAGAUACCCUGGUAGUCCACGCCUUAAACUAUGUGUGCUUGUCGUCGGGGGUUUUAACCUUCGGUGACGGAGCUAACGCGUUAAGCACACCGCCUGGGAAGUACGGUCGCAAGAUUGAA